AGCCGCCGCGGUAAUACCAGCAGUUCAAGUUGCAUCCCUUUUUAUUGGGUCUAAAACAUCCGUAGCUUGCCAUUUAAGUCUCUUGUGAAAUCUCGCGUCUCAAGCGCGAUGAAGUGCGGGGGAUACUGAAUGGUUAGAGAUCGGUAGACGUAAGCAGUACGCCACGGGUAACGGUCAAAUGUGUUAAUCCGUGGUGGACUAACAAUGAGCGAAGGCAGCUUACGAGGACGAAUCUGACAGUGAGGGAUGAAGGCCAGGGGCGCAAAACGGAUUAGAUACCCGUGUAGUCCUGGCAGUAAACACUGUUCACUAAACAUCGGGCCCUCUUCGGGAGGAUUCGGUGCUGAAGGGAAGCCGAAGAGUGAACUACCUGGGAAGUAUAGUCGCAAGAUCGAAACUUAAAGGAAUUGGCGGGGAGACAUACAACGAGUGACGCGUGCGGUUCAAUCAGAUUUUACACCGUGAACCUCACCAGGAGCGACAGCAGGAUGAAGGUCAGUCUGAAGGGCUUACCUGACACGCUGAGCGGAGAUACAAAGCCGACGUCAGCCUGUGCUGUGAAGUGACCUGUUAAAUCAGGUAACAGGCGAGACCCGUGUCAUUAAUUACUACAGAAAUGGGUACAUUAAUGAGAUUGCCUUGGUAACAAGGAUGAAAGUGCGGGCUACGUUAGGUGGCUUGUCCCUAAUCCCCUGGGCUACACGCGCGCGGCAAUGGUAUGUUCAAAUGGAUGCAACUCCGAAAGGAGAAGCUAAUCCCCUAACGCAUAUCUCAGUCCAGAUAGAGGGUUGCAACCCACCCUCUUGACGAUGGAAUUCGUAGUAAUCGGAUAUUAGCACUGUCCGGUGAAUAAGUCCCUGUCUCU
RNAcentral lists this ribosomal RNA (865 nucleotides) under uncultured euryarchaeote. Its description in RNAcentral is "bacterial SSU rRNA". It matches the Rfam family "Archaeal small subunit ribosomal RNA", at positions 460 to 1337 of the family's 1478-position model. The record is from RNAcentral. Lineage: Archaea; Methanobacteriati; Methanobacteriota.